This 306-nucleotide ribosomal RNA is filed under the name Triticum aestivum (bread wheat). RNAcentral's name for it is "partial small subunit ribosomal RNA". Lineage: Eukaryota; Viridiplantae; Streptophyta; Magnoliopsida; Poales; Poaceae. The record is from RNAcentral.
AUGCCCUCUCGUUCGUUCACCUCACCCACUCGAGCUCACUCUCUCUGGUUCCCCUCUCACCCACCCCCUUCUCGAUCCCCUCCAGAUCCCCGUCGUCGCCGGCCUCUCCUCGUCGUCGUUCGCCGGCCUCUCCUCGCCACCACCGCGUACUCUGUUUCCUCCCACCGCGCACCCCGUUUCCUCCGGCCGCGCACACCGCACCGUAGGUCAAAAGCUUGCUUUUUUAGGCGCCGUCGACGAGCUUCUGGGCGGCGGAGGAUGGAUCCGCGUGCACUGAAGCUGGAUCCGCGCGUGUCGACGCCGUAG